RNAcentral lists this long non-coding RNA (3058 nucleotides) under Homo sapiens (human). Its description in RNAcentral is "HSALNT0173695". Lineage: Eukaryota; Metazoa; Chordata; Mammalia; Primates; Hominidae. The record is from RNAcentral.
CUGGCUUCAGAACCACAACAUUAACAGAUUCAUUGCAGCCCUUUGGGCAUUUUUCCCUGAUUCCAAACCUCCUGUCCCCCGGCCCACCAGUAAACACUAUCCUGAAUUUUGUGUUUUGUUAUUGUGGCAGAUUAUAUUGCCAGCCCCAAUUCUUCACCCUUUACUGUAUCCACACCUUUUCCUAUGUAACUCUACAGAGACCUCCCACUGUGGAGAAGGCACAUCUCCCCAUAUCUUUGGGUUUGGCCAAUAGAAGGAAGUAGAAAUGAUACGUCUGUUCUGAGCCCAGGCCUCAAUAAUCUUUCCAUGAUUCCAUUUGCUUUUUUGCACCUUUGCCAUCACCACAAAAAGAACAUGGCUGGACUAGUAUGCUACUCAAGGAAGAGGAUGAAAGACAAGUGGAGUGGGGCUGAGUUGCCCCAGCCAAGCCAGCCUAGAUCAGCCAACCCCUGGCCAGGCCCCAACUCCGUGAGAAUACAUGACUGUGGCUUUAAGACACUAGGUUUUAAGCAAUUCCUUAUACAAUAUGUUUGUGGCAAUUGCUAACUUACAGACUCAUUCUUCCUUUUCUUUACAGUUUUACUGCAGACAUGCCCCUGAACAUAUUUAGCUUUGCAUAUUUUUGAACUGCACUUAACAGGAUACAACAAGAAGUUGGUAGUGUGCAACUCAGAAAAGGGCCCUCACCAGAACCCAACAAUGCUGGCACCCUGGUCUCAGACCUGUAGUCUCUAGAACUGUGAGAAAUAAACUUCUGUUGUUUCUAAGCCACCCUGUCUAUGGUACAUUUUUAUAGCAGCCAGAACUGACUAACACAGCUUCCCUUUCAAAACUGAGUAAACCUAGUUCCAAUCAUCUUUUCUUGUAAGAAAAAAAAUCCAUCGCACAGACUUUUAACAAAGUUUUUUGUUCUCAUCUAAGCUCUCACCUCCCAUUCUCUCCUGAUCCCUCUCCACCCAGGCUUCUGCCCCACCAUUCCUCCAUAAUUGCUGCUGUGACCAUCAUCAAGACCGCCAUGUUGCUAAAUCCAGUCACCAAUUCUCAGUCUUCAACUUAAGUUGCUAACAACUUCGUUUUAAUAUAGUUGGCCCCUCUUUCCUCCUUCAAACACCUUUCCCGCUUGGUCUUCAGGACAUCACACUCUCCUUGUUCUCUUUCUUCUUCACUGGCUGCUCCUUCUCAUUUCCCUUUGAUGCUUUAUUUUCAUGUCUCUUUCCUCAUAAUGGUGGAAUGUCCAGAGCUUUGUUCUUGGAUCUCUUCUCUUCUUUAUCUAAACUCAUUUACCUUGGUAAUUGCAUCCAAUCUAUGGUCUUUAAAUAUUAUUUAUAUGCUGAUGAAUUCCACAUUAUAUUUUCAUCCUGCUUCACUCCCCAGAGCUCCAAAUUCAUAUAUCCAGCUGCUCAACCACCACCUCUACUUGGAUGUAUAAAAACUUUCUUAAACUGAACACAUCUAAACCAAGCUCCCCAUCUCUCCCUCCCCACACUGUACUUCCUAGUCUUCUCUAACUUAGCAAAUGGCAACUUUAUCCAUUCAGUUGCCCAGUUCAAAACUAUUAGCAUAAUCUCUGACUUUUAUCAUUCUCUCACACAUCAUAUCUAGUCUAUGGGAUAUGCCUUUAAAAUACAUCCAGAAUCUCACCAUCUCCCAUCCUCUCCACCGCCAUUACCUUUCACUUGGGUUAUUUCAAUAGCUGCCAACCUAGCCUCCCUCCAUCCAUGUUGCCCAAUAGUCUUUUCUCAACAUUGUCCAGAGACAGCCUUUUAAAACACAUGUCAUGUCAUAUCACUUCUCUCCUCAAAACCCUCUAAUAGCUCCCCAUUUUAUUCCAAAUAAAUCCAAAAUCCUUACUAUGACUGUGGAGACCUUCCACAGUCCAGCUUCAGGUUAACUGUCUGACUCAGCUACUCACUUUCCCUCUCACAAACAUCCACUGCUUGUCCCCUUACAAAUGUGAUCACACUUAAUAUACUGUUCAGCAGUUUAACUUAGCACUGUAUCUUGACAACAUUUCUACAUCAGCACCAUCUACUCCAUUCUUUUUAACAGCUUUUAGGAAAAUGCUUAUGAUAUAAAACUUAAGAGACAGAAGCGGUAUAUAAGUAAUAUGCAGAACAUUAACUUAAACAUGUGCAAAAUUGAAAAAGAAAACAGUGUGAGAAGGAAAUAUGUCAAAGUGUCAAACAUGUUUGCCACUGAUUGAAAAAUUAGGUUGUGUUCUCCUCUCUGCUUCUUUCUGCUUUGUUUUUACUUUCCAAAUUCUCUCUAUAUAAUAAUUACAUUAAUUCAUACAAUGAUUAAAUACAAAUAUGCAUGUGGAAAAAAAGGCCAGAAAAUGUUGCUUGGCAGGUGAAUGGACAGAUCAAUUUUUAUAUAUCCACUCAGUGGAAACUACUUACCAAUAAAGGAAGACCUACUGGUACACACAACAUGGAUGACUCUCAGAAAGGUCAUGCUGACUAUAAGAAGCUAGACACAAAAGAGUUCAUACUAGAUGAUUUGAUUAUAUAAAAUUCUAGGGCUGGGCACGGUGGCUCACGCCUGGAAUCCCAGCACUUUGGGAAGCCGAGAAGGGCAGAUCACAGGAAGCCAGGAAUUCGAGACCAGCCUGACCAACAUGGUGAAAUCCCAUCUCUACUAAAAAUACAAAAAUUAGCCGGGUGUGGUGGCACGUGCCUGUAGUCCCAGCUACUCGGGAGGCUGAGGCAGGAGAAUCGCUUGAACCCAGGAGGCGGAGGUUGCAGUGAGCCGAGGUCGCGCCACUGCACUCCAGCCUGGGCGACAGGGCGAGAUUCUGCCAAAAAAAAAAAAAAAAUUAUAGGAUGGGCAAAAUUAAUCUGUAGUUACAGAAAGCAGAUCUGUAAUUGUCUGGGGACUGGGGUGCCAUAUGGAGGCACUAGGCAUCUUCUGGGGGGUAAUGCAAAUUUUCUAUACCUUGAUUGUUGUCAUGUCUUCAUGGGUAUAUACAGCUGUCAAAACUCACCAAACUGCACACUUAAAAUGAAUGCAUUUAUUGUAUGAAAAUUUUAUCUCAAUAAAGUUGAUUUUUUAAAGAAAA